Molecule: long non-coding RNA, 518 nt
Filed under: Volvox carteri
Lineage: Eukaryota; Viridiplantae; Chlorophyta; Chlorophyceae; Chlamydomonadales; Volvocaceae
Description: long non-coding RNA (VCAR_LNC002213)
Source: RNAcentral
UCCAAAGUCCCAAUGAGCAAUAGUUGUUACAAUCAGCUUGAUAGAGAAGUCUUGCCUCAGGGUACAAAUAGUACCAAUAGAUCAAGUCCGUACGAUAAGACCCAACUAGGAAUCACACCAAUCGUUGUACAACGCUUAUCGCGACAACAAGCUAUAAAAGCCUAGGAAGUCUGACCGGAAUUACAACUUAAUCCUCGUAUUCUUAGGUAUCACGCGUGUGUAUGCUUUGAAAAUACAAAAGUUUUGCGACCGAAACUAGUUUCUGGCUUGCCGGGGUGGCAAGGUCUAAACCUCUUUUCCAAAAGCACUGAAAUGAGUUCUGCAAGGUUAUAAUCUUUUCGGGUCUUUUGCUUGAUAAAUGCAUUCCGAUAAGGCGGUGACAGGAGGUGGCAUCUACGUCGACUUGAAGGCAACCCUAAGACCAAUGGGAUGACUAACAGAUUUAAAUUAUGUUUCUUGGCUGCGCUAAGUAUUUUCCUAGGCGAGAAGUUCAUGGUCUGCUGCCGACCCAACCUCCG